UGGGGCGCUCAAAGUAUCUUCAAGAAGGUUUUGAUUAUGGCUCAGAUUGAACGCUGGCGGGAUGUCUUUACACAUGCAAGUCGAACGGCGGCAGCACGGACUUCGGUCUGGUGGCGAGUGGCGAACGGGUGAGUAAUGUAUCCCGGAACGUGCUAGUAGCGGGGGAUAACUACGCGAAAGCGUAGCUAAUGCACCGCAUACGCCCUUCGGGGGAAAGCGGGGGACCUUCGGGCCUCGCACUAUUAGAGCGGCCGAUAUCGGAUUAGCUAGUUGGUGGGGUAACGGCUCACAAGGCGACGAUCCGUAGCUGGUUUGAGAGGACGACCAGCCACACUGGGACUGAGACACGGCCCAGACUCCUACAAGGAGGGCAACGAAGUGGAGAGUACUGGACAAUGGGAAACCCUGAGUCCAGCCAUCCCGCCGUGGUGCGAUGAAGGCCUUCUGGUUGUAAAGCACUUUUGGCAGGAAAGAAACGGCACGGGAUAAUACCCGUGCAACUGACGACACCUGCAGAAUAAGCACCCAUUUAACUACGUGCCAGCAGCCGCGGUAAUACGUAGGGUGCAAGCGUUAAUCGGAAUUACUGGGCGCUAAAGCGUGCGCAGGCGGUUCGGAAAGAAAGAUGUGAAAUCCCAGAGCUUAACUUUGGAACUGCAUUUUUAACUACCGAGCUAGAGUGUGUCAGAGAGGGAGGUGGAAUUCCGCGUGUAGCAGUGAAAUGUGCGUAGAUAUGCCGGAGGAACACCGAUAGCGAAGGCAGCCUCCUGGGAUAACCGCUGACGCUCAUGCGCGGCAGUAGAGGCGGACGGAUUGAAUGCUAGUGAUCCACCUAAACGAUAUCGAAAGCAUUAGCUGUUGUUGGGGCCUUCCGGGCCUUGGUAGCGCAGCUAACGCGUGAAGUUGACCGCCUGGGGAGUACGGUCGCAAGAUUAAAACUCAAAGGAAUUGACGGGGACCCGCACAAGCGGUGGAUGAUGUGGAUUAAUUCGAUGCAACGCGAAAAACCUUACCUACCCGAGCAUAUAUGGAAUCACGAAAGAUUUGGGGAGUGUCAUAGAACAGGAACAUACGAGUGCUGCAUGGCUGUCGAUCAGCUCGUGUCGUGAGAUGUUGGGUUAAGUCCCGCAACGAGCGCAACCCUUGUCAUUAGUUGCUACGAAAGAGGGCACUCUAAUGAGACUGCCGGUGACAAACCGGAGGAAGGUGGGGAUGACGUCAAGUCCUCACGCUAACCCGCCAUCGGGUAGACUUCACACGUCAUACAAUGAUCGGGACAGAGGGUCGCCAACCCGCGAGGAAGGCCAAUCCCAGAAACCCAAUCCAUAGUCGGAUCGCAGUCUGCAACUCGACUGCGUGAAGUCGGAAUCGCUAGUAAUCGCGGAUCAGCAUGUCGCGGUGAAUACGUUCCCGGGUCUUCGCAUACCGCCCGUCACACCAUGGGAGUGGGUUUUACCAGAAGUAGUUAACUGUCUGUGUCGGGAGGUAGUCUGAUGGAUUCUGACUGAAGGUGAAGUCGUAACAAGGUAA
This 1530-nucleotide ribosomal RNA is filed under the name uncultured Bordetella sp. Its description in RNAcentral is "partial 16S-23S ribosomal RNA intergenic spacer". It matches the Rfam family "Bacterial small subunit ribosomal RNA". The record is from RNAcentral. Lineage: Bacteria; Pseudomonadati; Pseudomonadota; Betaproteobacteria; Burkholderiales; Alcaligenaceae.